This 409-nucleotide ribosomal RNA is filed under the name uncultured bacterium. Its description in RNAcentral is "bacterial SSU rRNA". It matches the Rfam family "Bacterial small subunit ribosomal RNA", at positions 355 to 776 of the family's 1533-position model. The record is from RNAcentral.
UGGGGAAUAUUGGACAAUGGGCGGAAGCCUGAUCCAGCAACGCCGCGUGAGGGAUGACGGCCUUCGGGUUGUAAACCUCUUUCAGCACAGACGAAGCGCAAGUGACGGUAUGUGCAGAAGAAGGACCGGCCAACUACGUGCCAGCAGCCGCGGUAAUACGUAGGGUCCGAGCGUUGUCCGGAAUUAUUGGGCGUAAAGGGCUCGUAGGCGGUUUGUCGCGUCGGGAGUGAAAACGCAGGCCUUAAUUCUGCGCUUGCUUUCGAUACGGGCAGACUAGAGGUAUGCAGGGGAGAACGGAAUUCCUGGUGUAGCGGUGAAAUGCGCAGAUAUCAGGAGGAACACCGGUGGCGAAGGCGGUUCUCUGGGCAUGUCCUGACGCUGAGGAGCGAAAGUGUGGGGAGCGAACAGG